GCCAGUCUGAUUUCUCUCUCACUCGGCUGGUAUGGCCGUGCGUGACGGUCUAGUCGUGUUGCGUUUGGGGCUCCUUGCUCUUAGUAGUUGUGUUUAGCUUCGUGCCGUCGUCGCGUUUAAUUAAUCGAAUCGUGAGCCAGAAGAAAAUUGUGCGACGCCAUGGAGCGCGCGUCGGAGGCGCUCAGCGUCGACGACGUUUACAGCCUUGCCGAAGAGAUCGGGAAAGAAUUCGAAAUCCUCAUUGACAACUACGGCGUCGAGCCCGUGAACAAGCUGGUCACUAAAGUGAUUCGCGUGUUGGAGUACCUCGAAGCGUACGCCACCAAGAAUGACAUCGCCCGCAACGAGAUCGCCGAGCUCAGGGCCCAGAUCUACCAGCUCGAGCAUGACAAGUACGAGAAGGCGGAGUCGAGAAGCAAGCUCGAAAAGGAGAUGGAGCAGUAUGAAGACAUCUGGCGGCAAGAAAUGAAAGAUCUGGGUGUCCUUGUGGCGCGGCUACAGGAGGAAAACUCCAAACUGAGCAGUUCCCUCAAAGAGAGAGAAAGUCACCCAUCCUUGCAGUGCGAACCACACAGUGUGACGCUAGGGGAAGACAUUGUCGUCCUUGAACGGCUCCGGGAUGCCUUCGACAAGCAGGGAGCCCAACUGAGACAUCAUGAAAAGGACAUGGCCAAGAAAGCUGCCGACAUAGAAUCUCUUCAGCAGCAGCUGGAAGCCAGUAAGAAGGCGGCCCAAGAGCAGAGCCGACGCAACCGGCGGCUGCAGCAGCAGAUGCGACAGUUGUGCGAGGAGCGCGGUGACCUGCAAGUGCAGUUGCAGGACCAGCAGAGCCAGCUCCAGACCUUGCAGGAGCGACUAGGCAUUGCUGUCAAGGACCACGACGACAUCCUCCAAUCCAGGGACGCUGCCUUGGAUAUGCAAGGAAAAGUGGUGAUUGACUUGGACGACCCGAACCGACCACGCUUCACGCUGGAGGAGCUCAAGCACAUCUUGUUUGAGAGGAACGAGCUCAAGGCUCGAGUUAGUGAUCUCGAAGACGAGCUGGCUUUGUACAGGCCAAGGUGGUGGGCUCAUGAGGCAACCUCGCUUCUGACCAGGCCGGUUGACCCACCAUCGCCGGUCAGGGACGAAGACCGGCCCGUCCAGGGACCCAUCAACCAGGAGCCUGAGGAGAAGCUUUUUUCCUACGGAAAGGCCUCCGGCAUUCGCAAAUUGUUCCGGGUCAUUAAUAAAAUUAGAGGAUGAGUUUGCUGCCGUAUCUUGGACCUUGAAGGAAGGCAGCUCGCAGCAGUCAUCCCCCCCUUGACUGUUUUCCAAGUGUCCUGUGGCCUCGCGUCAAACCGGGAUGAGAGGCCUCGUCUGCUGUCUCCUGCGGGGCCUGCUCUCUCACGGUGGCCUCUCGAUGGAGUUCCUUGUCGACAUCGCACCGUUCUUCGAACUGCACACGGCCUUGUCUCCGGAUUCCAGAGUGCUACAGUGAAGCCAUGCUUUCGUUGCUUGCAAGUGCAGCAAGGAUAGAAAGUGAUGCGCGCACCCCCUCUCUAGGAAACGUGUGUCAUUGCCAUUGCAGCCCAGUGGCAUUGUGUGUGUAUUAUCUUGUGGACGUGCCAAGCUAGGAAAGUGGCAGGUUGCAGAGGUGACAGUGACUCUUCAAAUUGAAUUAAAAUGUCACGAUUAGUGGGCAGGGCCAAAUGUGGCUUCACUGUUUUAGAGAGGUCCAUCUCGAUAUGCAACUAAAGUUUAAAAGCAGCAACCAUGUGGAACAGCCCCUUGAUACAGGUAUUUGCAUUGCCUUGUUUCCGCGCACAUUUUGUGACCCACAAAGCCCCUACUGUAGUUGCAGCUGAGGUUCAAUGUGGUUGCUUCAGUGAGUUAAGUUAGUGUGGCACCAUUUAGCUGCGAUUCCAGUGUGGGCAUAGUGUGUUGUGAAAUAGACGUGGCAAUAUCAUGACUGAAAACACAGUUGAAGCUUGUUCCAUGUGUUUGCUUUCAAAUGUGUGCGCAUUCAAGUAUACUUACAAUUCUGCAGGAGGUAUCAAAAUAUUGUGCAUGUAGCAAUACAAACUAGGCACUGCACAGUGCACAAAGUUACGCACAUGGCUUUGUCUGCAGUUUAACAGAGACCGAAUGCAGUGUUUGCAACUUGCAUUAUAUAGUUUUUAUUUUUUUUUUGUCGGUUAUGAAAGGUCAUGUUCUGUGUAGAUUUGUUUUAUUUAUUUUAAUGUAUUUUAAUGUCUCGCUGUUUUCAGUUUUUAAUGCAUUUUAGCUGCAGCCUUUUCGGUUAAGCUUCAUUUUUUUGUUGUAGUUGUUGCUUGAGUUGCAUUACACACUGCUCCUUAAUUAUUAAUGAAGUCCAAGACACUGGAAAAAUACCUUAUCUAGAGAGAUGGUCUUGGUAAAAUAGAUCUAAUCUGUUAUCACUACUUACGAGCACAAUUGUUAACUGUUGCAAGUAGAUAAUUUCACUUUCGUCUGGUAGAGAAAUAACUGUAGGACAGUGUUUCAUAAGAUGCACAUCUGGCAGCAAUGUCAUUUUCUCGUGUCCUACAGUGCAAGUUAUUCGCUUUCUGUAUAGACACUAACUGUUUAUAAGGUAUGACCUUAAUGUGCUUUUGAAGCAGUAUUUGAUGCAGACAUGCAGGCAUUGUUAAUGAUAAGGGUGACACUACCUUUUGAUUACGAGAUAUAUUCCAAAAGGACUUGCUAUUGGGCUGGUAACAUAUCUUAGAUGAUUAAAAGAGCGCAAAUAGGCACACUCGCAAGCACACAUACACAGUGCUCAGUUCUGUUUGAUUGCUAGUAUGCAAGCCCACAUUUAUGUGCAGAAAAUUAAGCAUGUGCAAACUAAAAAAAAAAUUCUAUAAGCCACUGUCAGAAAGACAGAAUAUGUUGGUCACAGCCUUGAAUCCAAAAAAGAGACUUUUGCAGGGAACAAAGUUACAAAUGGUUCACUGACGCACUACUGCUCGUUCUUUCAAAUGAAAAGGGCUUCUAAGGCCACACAUGUUGUUGUUGCACUUUUACCAAGAGUCUGCGUGCCAUGGAAUCGUGGCUCACAGCCACAAGAUGUGACAUGCGCAACCAAGUGCACGUAUGUAUCUUUUUUCUUUACUUUUUGUGUGUGCUCUCAUAAUUGAUCGUUCAAACAUCGUUCAGUUUGCCCACUGUACACAUUACCGUGGGAAAGAGGAAUUUAGUAAACAACUCCAGUGGAACAUUUUAUGAACAUAUCUCAUGUUUUUUCUCGCAGCCGAAUUUCCCGGCAUCGCAUGUGCGUGGGCAUACUUUCCCUAGUUUCUUGGGAGCCGAAAAAACCAGUAGCACUCCGGGCCUGCCCAUGAUUUUUUUUUUUUUUAGACGAUGGGAGAGUUUGUGGAUACAGGGCACAAAUUGAGGUCUGCGUAGCAGCCAUCUCCUCAUCUGCUACACGUUUCAGCUUCUGCAGUAGUGUCUUGGCAAUGGCAAUUAUGAGCGAAGUCGGGAAGUCUGCAGCCAAAAGCCGGCUCACCUAUGUCCACAAACUCUCCCACACUCUAAA
This is an RNA transcript of Dermacentor albipictus, 3538 nucleotides long. It is a transcript of the gene named RILP-like protein homolog, with no coding region annotated. The record is from RefSeq and is a predicted model, not a curated record. Lineage: Eukaryota; Metazoa; Arthropoda; Arachnida; Ixodida; Ixodidae.